CGUCAGCGAUGGGUUCGGCUUCAGCUAGAUCGUUCAGGAUUUCAGCUACAGCUUCGUUACCGGUUCUUCACCCGCCUCCUCCCGACGCUCCCGAUCAGCCAUUUUUCCCGGAGAAUCCUUCCACGCCUGACCAGUCUCAGCUCCCUCCUCCUCCUCCGCCUCCUGCUUCCUCCGACGCCAAUGGCGGAUUACCGAUUCCGACGGCUACUACUCAGCAGGCGAAGCCUGGGAAGAAAUUCGCGAUCGUCAUAUCCGUUGGAGUCGUCACGCUCGGUAUGCUCUCAGCUCUAGCUUUCUUCUUGUAUCGCCACAAAGCUAAACACGCAAGCGACACUCAGAAACUCGUUAGCAGAGGAGGCGAUGGCGGUUCUCGAAGAUUCCAGGAAGAUCCGCUUCCACCGACGUCUUCCACGUUUCUCUAUAUGGGAACCGUUGAACCGAGCCGCGAACCGGCAAGUGAAUCUAUUGGACCGGUUAAUACUUCUCCGUACCGGAAAUUAAAUUCGGUUACGAGAUCAGAUCGAUACCGGCCGAGUCCUGAGCUUCAACCGCUUCCACCGUUAGCUAAACCGCCGCAACCGUCUGAGAACUCUCCCUCGGCCUUGUCUCCUUCUACGUCGUCUUCCGACGAAGAAUGCCGCGGCACCGCGUUUUACACGCCGCAUGGAUCUGCUAUCAGCAGCGACGACGGUUACUACACGGCGUUUCCUCGGUCAGCCAACAGCAACGGCCAUUCCUCAGGAUCGAUUCCUCACUCGAAGAGGACUUCUCCGAAGUCGAAGUUUGGAUCUAGGUCGCCGGAGAUGAAGCACGUUAUCAUUCCGUCGAUAAAGCAGAAACCGCCGCCAAUACAAUCUCCACCACUAAGGGGCUUGGAAACUGAUCCUUAUCCACAGAACAAGCCUAAGUUCUCUCAGCCUCCUCCUCCGCCGAAUAGAGCGGCGUUUCAGGCGAUUACGCAGGAUAAGUCACCUCUCAGCACACGAGUGUCACCACGGAGGUCUCCUCCUCCUCCACUCCAUACGCCACCUCCACCUCCACCUCCUCCUCCUCCUCAGAUACGGCCAAGAGAUUUCCAGAUACCUCGAAAAUUCGUAGUGACACGUGGCGUGGUUCGGUUUCAAAUCUUUAUCGUGCGGUCCUAUCGUUUUACACCCGUCUCGAAGCCAGACGAUCAAUCAAGAAAACUAGCAUUCAAGACUCCAAGUCCUCAAUCGAAAGCUGUUGAAGAGGCCAAAAGUGUAUCAGCUGACGGGGACACGGAUCCAAGCAGGCCAAAGUUGAAGCCACUCCACUGGGACAAAGUACGCGCGAGCUCUGAUCGUGCCACAGUUUGGGACCAGCUCAAAUCAAGCUCAUUCCAGUGCGUAUUUAUUGUCUUUGUUAAACAUACGUUUGAAUUUGCCUUUUCAAUAACUAUUUUGAAUCUUUGUGGUAUUAUUAAACAGAGUGAACGAAGAUCGGAUGGAGCAUCUGUUUGGUUGCAGUUCAGCAAGUUCAGCUCCAAAGGAACCUGUGAGAAGGUCAGUGAUGCCUCCAGCCGAGAAUGAGAACAGAGUACUUGAUCCAAAGAAAUCGCAGAACAUUGCAAUCCUCUUAAGAGCACUGAAUGUAACUCGUGAGGAAGUGUCAGAAGCUCUUUUAGAUGGUAAGUUUUUGUCUCCAUUUUAAUUCGUUACUUAGGGUAAAGUUCCAUUUGCACCAAGUACCAAUUGGCCUUUGCCUUGAUCGUUAUAAGUUUUAUAGGUUCCUCUAUUAGACACAUAGCGUUUUGAGUAUUGAUGCGGUGAUGGGUUAAUGGAAAUCUUUCUGUUAGUAGGAAUAGUAAUAGAGAUGCUCAUAAGAGGUAUUGGUGGUAAAAGGAUAAAUAAUAAUACUAAAGAGGCUUUGGCCACAAGCUACAAUCAUUUCAAAGAACAAUGACAUAGGAAAUGAUUUUAUCUGCUUUAUAUUGCUUCUUACAUGAUUGCGCAACUUAUGAAAAAAAACUAAUCCUUUAAUUUACAGGGGUAGCAAGCAUGAUGUAGAGCUAUAUACUUGAAACUUAUUAAGAUUCUGAAAAACAUAAAUUGAUUUCCUUAUGAAUUGUUAUCUAAGAUGCUUUUAAAUUUUCGUUCCUAUUAUUUCAAUCUAAUUAAACUUGUGGCACGGUAACAGGUAAUCCCGAGAGCUUAGGUGCAGAACUUCUAGAGACUUUGGUGAAGAUGGCUCCAACAAAGGAAGAAGAGAUAAAACUCCGAGAGUACUCUGGCGAUGUCUCAAAACUAGGAACAGCUGAAAGAUUCCUUAAAACCAUUCUCGAUAUCCCUUUUGCAUUCAAACGAGUUGAAGCAAUGUUGUAUAGAGCCAAUUUUGAUGCAGAAGUCAAGUAUCUAAGGAACUCUUUCCAGACACUAGAGGUUAGUUAGUCACUCGCUAAAUGAUUCAAUCUCUCAAAUGAAUUUGUCUUGAUAGUCUCAACCCCUUGUUUGCUUUUGUAGGAAGCAAGCUUAGAAUUAAAAGCAAGCAGGCUAUUCCUUAAGCUCCUCGAAGCUGUUCUAAUGACAGGAAACAGAAUGAACGUUGGCACAAAUCGUGGAGAAGCCAAAGCCUUCAAACUCGAUACUCUUUUAAAACUCGUGGACAUAAAAGGAGUUGACGGCAAAACCACAUUGCUUCACUUUGUCGUCCAAGAAAUCACAAAAUCCGAGGCAACCACAACAACAGUAGAUGAAACCAUCGUCCAUGAAAACAAAGACGGUUUCAGAAAGCAAGGAUUACAAGUCGUGGCUGGACUGAGUAGAGAUCUGGCAAACGUAAAAAAAUCAGCCGGAAUGGAUUCCGACGUACUGAGUGGGUACGUGACAAAGCUCGAGACGGGUCUUGAGAAACUCCGAGCUUUUGUCAAGACAGAGACAACAACAACAACUCCAGGGAAGUUCUUUGAUUCGAUGAAAACGUUUCUCAAAGAGGCCGAAGAAGAGAUUCGAAAGAUCAAAGGAGGCGAAAGAAAAGCUCUGUCAAUGGUUAAAGAAGUAACGGAGUAUUUCCACGGAGACGCUGCAAAAGAAGAAGCACAUCCUUUGAGAAUCUUCAUGGUCGUGAGAGAUUUUCUCGGAGUUCUUGAUAACGUUUGUAAAGAAGUUAAGACGAUGCAGGAAAUGUCGUCAGCGAUGGGUUCGGCUUCAGCUAGAUCGUUCAGGAUUUCAGCUACAGCUUCGUUACCGGUUCUUCACAGGUAUAAAUCAAGACAAGAAGAUACAAGCUCAGAUAAUGAACACAGCAGCAACUCUUCUACGUGAUGAAACACACAAAACAAAAAGCUGUACAGUUUCUUACACCGGAGACAAGGGAUUAAGUUGGUGUUUCUCAAACCGGAGGAGAUAUUGAGUUAGUUAACUCGGAGAAUAUGGGCCGGUUCAUGAAGGAACAAACACUACAAUGAUCAAAUUUUCGUUAACAAAUAAGUUUCUUUGUUAAUUUUUCUUUUUUCGUCGGCAGUUGAAAUAUAGAUAGAUAUGUAUAAAUAUAUCCUAAUAUCUUGAGGUUAUUAGUGGAGAUUUUGUUUAUUUUGGACGUUAUAAUCUUUAUCCAAUUCAAAAAGUUAGUAGUCGUAUGACCACAUAAGUAAGAAUUACGAGAUAGGUUGGAAUCGUGUUUACAUCUUUUUUUUUCUUCUUGUUUUCUUGUUCUAAAGGAAUCAGAAUCCAAUACGAAAGUACAUAAUAAAAGGAGAUUUGUAAAGGAAACGUACAAAUGUAUGGUUGUAAUAUGAGUGCACGGAUUUGAAUUUGUGACGAUGGAUGUUUCCAAUAUUAUUUAAUGAAAUACGAACAUGUGAUGUGAAUGAGACCGAUUCUUCUGUACAGCUUGUACCACACGUCUCUCUCUUUCUUACUGCAUUUGUCCUCUUCUGCGUCACUUUUUUCUCCCACCACGAUCUUUUCGUUGCAGUUUCCCAUUUUUGGAGGUAUUAAAAAUAACAAAACAAAGUAGCGUCGUAUUUAACUUUGGUAGAUUCCUGCUCUUUUUUUUUUGUCGUUUCUUUCUCAACAAGACACUGAGUUAAAAACAACAAAACCACUAAACCGAAACGAGUAAUCAAGCUCUAUAUAAAUAAACCGGAUCUAACAUUCAUAACCAACCAACUUAGAUUUUGACCACCAAAUGUGUAUCUUUCUUUCAUUUCAUUUUAUUAUGUUACACUUUUUUUUCAGGGAGAAGAUCACAAGAAACGCUUAAAACUCGCCAUUCUUGGGACUGAAGAAAACGAUUAAGACAUGGUGGAGGAAGAUCUGGUCACGGGUAGAAAGAAAGGAGAGGCUCCGAUUUUCUUAGAACCUAACACAUUCUUCACCAGAAGUUUCCAUCUAACCUCAUCCUUCUUGCUCUGUUUCUCCAUCUUCUCCUUAAAGUUUCCGCACAGCGGGACUCGACACUGAUCAGAAUCAGCGCAAACACGUGAAUGCAACUCAAGGAGUUGCCACAUUCUCUUGCAAUGCACGCAACCUCCCGGAACCCUAAGCUUGCAUCCAGCGAAAUGCCUGAUCAGCGAUUCCAACCCUUUGCAAGCUUCGUAGUGACACGUGGCGUGGUUCGGUUUCAAAUCUUUAUCGUGCGGUCCUAUCGUUUUACACCCGUCUCGGCAUAUAUGAACAAGCGCUUCCAUCGCUUCGUAUAGCUGCGAGUAUAUCCUCUCUUCAUUGCGUUUUCUGAUCCUCUCUUUCCGAGCCUGCACAUAUGUUUAACAACGUUUUAGAAAAAAAAUGGUAACGAGCCAGAGUUGAAAAAUGUAAUUAAUUACUUACGUUUUCUUCGAUGAAGACAGAGUCUCUAAGUUCUUUCUCGAGAAAGGGAUGGCUUUUCUUCAUAGCUGUCCAUGCUUCUGUCGCGUAAAGCUCCUUGAAGUGUUUCAUGAUCGUACGGUGAGAUAUAACGCUGAGCCGAGGGAAAUCACAUAGCAGGGCAAGCUGGAAGACGUCGAUUACGUUCUCAGUGGUGAGCAAACCAUGUUCUAGAUGCCAUUCGCAGACCCGUUUCAGCUGAGGAACCACGUACGCGUGAGACAGAAGCAGCAAGUGCAUGAUGUACUCAUUCAUCUCUUCUUUCUUAUAGCUACAAAAAAAGAAAGAAAGUCAGGUUUAAUAAAAACUAAGAGAAUGUUAAAAGAAGAGGUAAAUAUUAUAGAGAAGUGUACCAAGAAGAGUAGAGGAAACGAAUGAAAACUCGGACAGCUUCAUGAGGGACGCCACGGAUUGAGAUUGUAUACCACUUUCCAUGUUUUUUGGCUUGCUUCAACAUGCCUUUGAUCACACUUGAAGCAGUCCCCUGUUAAAUUAAAAACCAACAAAAAAAAAGACUUAAAGUCUAACCUAGAGAUCCAAACAAUACAAGGAUCAAUAUAAGAUUUCAAAGGAGAGAGCAUUACAAUGAUAUUGGCAUGAGCAUAGACGAUGCCGCCAUUAUCAGUGUAGAUGACAACAUUAGCUUUGUAUCCGUCAUUGAAAAGACGAUCCCACAUAUCUUUUGUGGCUGUGGGAACGCAGGUGUGCUCUGGAGCUACAUCGUUACGGUAUCUUUUUUGGUGACCAUCAGAUUUUGAAGGAAGAGGUGGAGGGAUCGGUACAGAAGAAGAAUCAGCAGCUUUUUGAAGAUCAACACAAGCCAUCACCAUUUCUCCUUUUUAUCUUUUCCCUCCCUGAAGCAAAACCAAUUGAAACUUUUGAUUAUAUGUUAAAUACAGAGAUCUUUGCUUUUACUUCACACAAUAAAAAUUCUAUGAAUAAUCCAUUAUCAUUUCACAAAUGUUUUUAAAACCUUUAUUUACGAUCAAGAAUCAUAACAUAUCUUUGAAACUUUUUUCAAGAUUCCAUGAAACAGUUUAACCAUAAUCGUUUUUUCCUCACGCAAUACAGAAAAACAAACAAUGGUCGAGAUCAAACACUAGAUAAUUCAAAACAGAUGAAUAGAGAAAAUGUUAAGAAACAAGAACAUACCUCCUUCAAACGAGCUAAGCUAGAAUCUUGAUUCUGACCGAACCGUUAGAGCAAGUUCAAUCAAAAUUAACUCAAUUAUGAGAAUAUAUAUAAAAGUCUCCUCCUUCCUCUAACCAGCAGGAGAAGAAACUCUAUAGAGAAGCUUCAAAACAGAUCACAGAUCUCUUCUCAUUAUAUAAACACAAACACACUCUCGAAACAAGGGAACACGACAAAAGAUCUUUUGAAGAAAAUAAAUAAAUUGGAUAUUUAUUUUUGUUGCUCACUUUUUUUCUUUCCGUCAAUUAUUAUUACAAAGAUAUUUUCUUGUUCAUCACCGCCAAACAAACAACACCUGCGCAAAAAAUCACCGAGGGGCGCGUGGAUGCUACGGUUACGAAACGGACGGCUGAGAGCGAUUACGCAGGAUAAGUCACCUCUCUGCACACUAGUGUCACCACGGAGGUCUCCUCCUCCACUCCAUACGCCACCUCCACCUCCACCUCCUCCCCCUCCUCCUCGUCCUCCUCCGCCUCCGCCUCCUCAGAUACGGCCAAGAGAUUUCCAGAUACCUCGAAAGCUCAGCAAUCCAGAAGCAACGAAGCCAGACGAUCAAUCAAGAAAACUAGCAUUCAAGACUCCAAGUCCUCAAUCGAAAGCUGUUGAAGAGGCCAAAAGUGUAUCAGCUGACGGGGACACGGAUCCAAGCAAGCCAAAGUUGAAGCCACUCCACUGGGACAAAGUACGCGCGAGCUCUGAUCGUGCCACAGUUUGGGACCAGCUCAAAUCAAGCUCAUUCCAGUGCGUAUUACUGUCUUCUGCAUUGUUGUGAAACAUACGUUUGAAUUUUCCGUUUUCGAUAACUAUUUGAAUCUUUGUGGUAUUAUUAAACAGAGUGAACGAAGAUCGGAUGGAGCAUCUGUUUGGUUGCAGUUCAGCAAGUUCAGCUCCAAAGGAACCUGUGAGAAGAUCAGUGAUGCCUCCAGCUGAGAAUGAGAACAGAGUACUUGAUCCAAAGAAAUCUCAGAACAUUGCAAUCCUCUUGAGAGCACUGAACGUAACUCGUGAGGAGGUGUCAGAAGCUCUUUUAGAUGGUAAGUUGUUGUCUCCCACUUGAUUCAUUACUUACGGUAAAGUUACCUUUUGCACAAAGUAACGUUUGGCCUUAACCUAGAUCGUUAUAAGUUAGUAAGCUAUUUGUAUUUAGGUUCCUCUGUUCAACGCAUAACCUGUUCUUAGUUUUGAUGCCUUGAUGGGCUAGUGGUGAUCUUUCUAGUAGCAGGAAUAGUAAUAAAUGCUUCUCCUCCUCCUCCUCCAGUUUUCCAGUCCACGCCGCCUCCUCCCGACGCUCCCGAUCAGCCAUUUUUCCCGGAGAAUCCUUCCACGCCUGACCAGUCUCAGCUCCCUCCUCCUCCUCCGCCUCCUGCUUCCUCCGACGCCAAUGGCGGAUUACCGAUUCCGACGGCUACUACUCAGCAGGCGAAGCCUGGGAAGAAAUUCGCGAUCGUCAUAUCCGUUGGAGUCGUCACGCUCGGUAUGCUCUCAGCUCUAGCUUUCUUCUUGUAUCGCCACAAAGCUAAACACGCAAGCGACACUCAGAAACUCGUUAGCAGAGGAGGCGAUGGCGGUUCUCGAAGAUUCCAGGAAGAUCCGCUUCCACCGACGUCUUCCACGUUUCUCUAUAUGGGAACCGUUGAACCGAGCCGCGAACCGGCAAGUGAAUCUAUUGGACCGGUUAAUACUUCUCCGUACCGGAAAUUAAAUUCGGUUACGAGAUCAGAUCGAUACCGGCCGAGUCCUGAGCUUCAACCGCUUCCACCGUUAGCUAAACCGCCGCAACCGUCUGAGAACUCUCCCUCGGCCUUGUCUCCUUCUACGUCGUCUUCCGACGAAGAAUGCCGCGGCACCGCGUUUUACACGCCGCAUGGAUCUGCUAUCAGCAGCGACGACGGUUACUACACGGCGUUUCCUCGGUCAGCCAACAGCAACGGCCAUUCCUCAGGAUCGAUUCCUCACUCGAAGAGGACUUCUCCGAAGUCGAAGUUUGGAUCUAGGUCGCCGGAGAUGAAGCACGUUAUCAUUCCGUCGAUAAAGCAGAAACCGCCGCCAAUACAAUCUCCACCACUAAGGGGCUUGGAAACUGAUCCUUAUCCACAGAACAAGCCUAAGUUCUCUCAGCCUCCUCCUCCGCCGAAUAGAGCGGCGUUUCAGGCGAUUACGCAGGAUAAGUCACCUCUCAGCACACGAGUGUCACCACGGAGGUCUCCUCCUCCUCCACUCCAUACGCCACCUCCACCUCCACCUCCUCCUCCUCCUCAGAUACGGCCAAGAGAUUUCCAGAUACCUCGAAAACUCAGCAAUCCAGAAGCAACGAAGCCAGACGAUCAAUCAAGAAAACUAGCAUUCAAGACUCCAAGUCCUCAAUCGAAAGCUGUUGAAGAGGCCAAAAGUGUAUCAGCUGACGGGGACACGGAUCCAAGCAGGCCAAAGUUGAAGCCACUCCACUGGGACAAAGUACGCGCGAGCUCUGAUCGUGCCACAGUUUGGGACCAGCUCAAAUCAAG
RNAcentral lists this long non-coding RNA (8518 nucleotides) under Brassica napus (rape). RNAcentral describes it as "long non-coding RNA (BNAP_LNC003137)". The record is from RNAcentral. Lineage: Eukaryota; Viridiplantae; Streptophyta; Magnoliopsida; Brassicales; Brassicaceae.